RNAcentral lists this ribosomal RNA (405 nucleotides) under uncultured Eubacteriales bacterium. RNAcentral's name for it is "uncultured Clostridiales bacterium partial 16S ribosomal RNA". It matches the Rfam family "Bacterial small subunit ribosomal RNA", at positions 355 to 774 of the family's 1533-position model. Lineage: Bacteria; Bacillati; Bacillota; Clostridia; Eubacteriales. The record is from RNAcentral.
UGGGGAAUAUUGGGCAAUGGAGGCAACUCUGACCCAGCAACGCCGCGUGAAGGAAGAAGGUUUUCGGAUUGUAAACUUCUGUCGCAGGGGACGAAAAAAAUGACGGUACCCUGCAAGAAAGCCCCGGCUAACUACGUGCCAGCAGCCGCGGUAAUACGUAGGGGGCAAGCGUUGUUCGGAAUUACUGGGCGUAAAGGGUGCGUAGGCGGACAAAUAAGUCAGAUGUGAAAUCCCCGGGCUCAACCUGGGUGGUGCAUUUGAAACUAUUUAUCUUGAGUGCAGGAGAGGAAAGCGGAAUUCCUAGUGUAGCGGUGAAAUGCGUAGAUAUUAGGAGGAACACCAGUGGCGAAGGCGGCUUUCUGGACUGUAACUGACGCUGAGGCACGAAAGCGUGGGGAGCAAACA